Molecule: transfer RNA, 74 nt
Filed under: Bacillota bacterium
Lineage: Bacteria; Bacillati; Bacillota
Also listed under: 12 other names
Description: tRNA-Asp
Rfam family: tRNA
About the family: Transfer RNA (tRNA) molecules are approximately 80 nucleotides in length. Their secondary structure includes four short double-helical elements and three loops (D, anti-codon, and T loops).
Source: RNAcentral
GGCCUGGUGGCUCAGCUGGUUAGAGCGCCGCCCUGUCACGGCGGAGGUCGUGGGUCCGAAUCCCAUCCGGGUCG